GGCCGGUUCGUCUAACGGUUAGGACGUCAGGUUUUCAUCCUGGUAAUAGGGGUUCGAUUCCCCUACCGGCUA
This 72-nucleotide transfer RNA is filed under the name Bacteroidota bacterium. Its description in RNAcentral is "Bacteroidetes bacterium (freshwater metagenome) tRNA-Glu". It matches the Rfam family "tRNA". Rfam says of the family: Transfer RNA (tRNA) molecules are approximately 80 nucleotides in length. Their secondary structure includes four short double-helical elements and three loops (D, anti-codon, and T loops). The record is from RNAcentral. Lineage: Bacteria; Pseudomonadati; Bacteroidota.